GACGAACGCUGGCGGCGUGCUUAACACAUGCAAGUCGAGCGAUGAAGUUCCUUCAGGAACGGAUUAGCGGCGGACGGGUGAGUAACACGUGGGUAACCUGUCUCAUAGAGGGGAAUAGCCUUUCGAAAGGAAGAUUAAUACCGCAUAAGAUUGUAGCUUCGCAUGGAGUAGCAAUUAAAGGAGUAAUCCGCUAUGAGAUGGACCCGCGUCGCAUUAGCUAGUUGGUGAGGUAACGGCUCACCAAGGCGACGAUGCGUAGCCGACCUGAGAGGGUGAUCGGCCACAUUGGGACUGAGACACGGCCCAGACUCCUACGGGAGGCAGCAGUGGGGAAUAUUGCACAAUGGGGGAAACCCUGAUGCAGCAACGCCGCGUGAGUGAUGACGGUCUUCGGAUUGUAAAACUCUGUCUUCAGGGACGAUAAUGACGGUACCUGAGGAGGAAGCCACGGCUAACUACGUGCCAGCCGCCGCAGUAA
This 478-nucleotide ribosomal RNA is filed under the name uncultured bacterium. RNAcentral's name for it is "partial 16S ribosomal RNA". It matches the Rfam family "Bacterial small subunit ribosomal RNA", at positions 28 to 523 of the family's 1533-position model. The record is from RNAcentral.